GGAAUAUAAGAACCCGUCUCUUAACUUUUAACUAAAAAAACUAAGAACCGGCUCUUAAAUAAGAGUUUUAAGAGAAGGUUCUUAGCUUUUUUAGUUAAAAGUUAAGAGACGAGUUCUUAUAUUCC
Brassica napus (rape) is the source of this 125-nucleotide non-coding RNA. The record is from Rfam. Lineage: Eukaryota; Viridiplantae; Streptophyta; Magnoliopsida; Brassicales; Brassicaceae.